GAGCCCGUGGCUCAAUGGUAGAGCGUUCGACUCAAAUACCAAAGGUCGCGGGUUCGAAUCCCAGGUGCA
Non-coding RNA from Schistocephalus solidus, 69 nucleotides. Lineage: Eukaryota; Metazoa; Platyhelminthes; Cestoda; Diphyllobothriidea; Diphyllobothriidae. The record is from Rfam.